AAGGCGAAGUGCAUGCCUCAGUAGCGGCGAGUGAAGCGGCAAGAGCUCAGAUUUGAAAUCGUGCUUUGCGGCACGAGUUGUAGAUUGCAGGUUGGAGUCUGUGUGGAAGGCGGUGUCCAAGUCCCUUGGAACAGGGCGCCCAGGAGGGUGAGAGCCCCGUGGGAUGCCGGCGGAAGCAGUGAGGCCCUUCUGACGAGUCGAGUUGUUUGGGAAU
RNAcentral lists this ribosomal RNA (214 nucleotides) under Pichia kudriavzevii. Its description in RNAcentral is "partial 26S ribosomal RNA". It matches the Rfam family "Eukaryotic large subunit ribosomal RNA", at positions 62 to 281 of the family's 3401-position model. The record is from RNAcentral. Lineage: Eukaryota; Fungi; Ascomycota; Pichiomycetes; Pichiales; Pichiaceae.